GACGGAGGGAUGCAAGCGUUAUCCGGAAUGAUUGGGCGUAAAGCGUCCGCAGGUGGCAGUUCAAGUCUGCUGUCAAAGACCGGGGCUUAACUUCGGAAAGGCAGUGGAAACUGAACAGCUAGAGUAUGGUAGGGGCAGAGGGAAUUCCUGGUGUAGCGGUGAAAUGCGUAGAUAUCUGGAGGAAUACCAGUGGCGAAGGCGGCUUUCUGGACCUUACCU
RNAcentral lists this ribosomal RNA (219 nucleotides) under uncultured bacterium. RNAcentral describes it as "partial 16S ribosomal RNA". It matches the Rfam family "Bacterial small subunit ribosomal RNA", at positions 524 to 741 of the family's 1533-position model. The record is from RNAcentral.